This 258-nucleotide ribosomal RNA is filed under the name uncultured bacterium. Its description in RNAcentral is "partial 16S ribosomal RNA". It matches the Rfam family "Bacterial small subunit ribosomal RNA", at positions 99 to 353 of the family's 1533-position model. The record is from RNAcentral.
CGAACGGGUGAGUAACGCGUGAGGAACCUGCCUCAAANAGGGGGACAACAGUUGGAAACGACUGCUAAUACCGCAUAAGCCCACGGUGCCGCAUGGCACAGAGGGAAAAGGAGCAAUCCGCUUUGAGAUGGCCUCGCGUCCGAUUAGCUAGUUGGUGAGGUAACGGCCCACCAAGGCAACGAUCGGUAGCCGGACUGAGAGGUUGAACGGCCACAUUGGGACUGAGACACGGCCCAGACUCCUACGGGAGGCAGCAUG